This 465-nucleotide ribosomal RNA is filed under the name Vreelandella stevensii. RNAcentral's name for it is "partial 16S ribosomal RNA". It matches the Rfam family "Bacterial small subunit ribosomal RNA", at positions 338 to 795 of the family's 1533-position model. Lineage: Bacteria; Pseudomonadati; Pseudomonadota; Gammaproteobacteria; Oceanospirillales; Halomonadaceae. The record is from RNAcentral.
CCUACGGGUGGCUGCAGUGGGGAAUAUUGGACAAUGGGCGAAAGCCUGAUCCAGCCAUGCCGCGUGUGUGAAGAAGGCCUUCGGGUUGUAAAGCACUUUCAGUGGGGAAGAAAGCCUUGGGGCUAAUACCCUCGAGGAGGGACAUCACCCACAGAAGAAGCACCGGCUAACUCCGUGCCAGCAGCCGCGGUAAUACGGAGGGUGCGAGCGUUAAUCGGAAUUACUGGGCGUAAAGCGCGCGUAGGCGGUCUGAUAAGCCGGUUGUGAAAGCCCCGGGCUCAACCUGGGAACGGCAUCCGGAACUGUCAGGCUAGAGUGCAGGAGAGGAAGGUAGAAUUCCCGGUGUAGCGGUGCAAUGCGUAGAGAUCGGGAGGAAUACCAGUGGCGAAGGCGGCCUUCUGGACUGACACUGACGCUGAGGUGCGAAAGCGUGGGUAGCAAACAGGAUUAGAUACCCGUGUAGUC